RNAcentral lists this ribosomal RNA (510 nucleotides) under uncultured bacterium. RNAcentral describes it as "partial 16S ribosomal RNA". It matches the Rfam family "Bacterial small subunit ribosomal RNA", at positions 28 to 507 of the family's 1533-position model. The record is from RNAcentral.
GACGAACGCUGGCGGCGUGCUUAACACAUGCAAGUCGAACGAAAAGCGACGGAGGCUUGCCUCUAUCAAUCUUAGUGGCGAACGGGGGAGUAACGCGUAAUCAACCUGCCCUUCAGAGGGGGACAAAAGUUGGAGACGACUCCUAAUAACGCCUACGAUCUAAUCUCGGCAUCCAGGGUGGCUUAAAGGUUGCCUCUACAUGUUAGCUCGCACUGGAGGUGGGGAGUGCGUCUGAUUAGCUACCUGGAGGGGGAACGGCCCAACAAGGGCGGGGUGAGGAGCCGGUCCGGAGGGAAGAACGGCCACAAUGGGACCGAGACACGGCCCAGACUCCCAAGGGAGGGAGCAGUGGGGAAACUUCCGACAUUGACGAAAGUCUGACGGAGCAACGCCGGGGGAGUGAUGACGGCCUUCGGGUUGUUAAGCUCUGUUAAUCGGGAAGAAAGGCCUUCUUGCGAAUAGUGAGAAGGAUUGACGGUACCGGAAUAGAAAGCAACGGCUAACUACGUG